UACGAAGGGGGCUAGCGUUGCUCGGAAUCACUGGGCGUAAAGCGCACGUAGGCAGACUCUUAAGUCGGUGGUGAAAUCCUGGAGCUCAACUCCAGAACUGCCUUCGAUACUGAGAGUCUUGAGUCCGGGAGAGGUGAGUGGAACUGCGAGUGUAGAGGUGAAAUUCGUAGAUAUUCGCAAGAACACCAGUGGCGAAGGCGGCUCACUGGCCCGGUACUGACGCUGAGGUGCGAAAGCGUGGGGAGCAAACAGG
Molecule: ribosomal RNA, 253 nt
Filed under: uncultured bacterium
Lineage: Bacteria
Description: partial 16S ribosomal RNA
Rfam family: Bacterial small subunit ribosomal RNA
Source: RNAcentral